Molecule: ribosomal RNA, 544 nt
Filed under: Avocettina infans (avocet snipe-eel)
Lineage: Eukaryota; Metazoa; Chordata; Actinopteri; Anguilliformes; Nemichthyidae
Description: partial 16S ribosomal RNA
Rfam family: Bacterial large subunit ribosomal RNA
Source: RNAcentral
GCCCUGUGACCGCAAGGUUUAACGGCCGCGGUAUCCUGACCGUGCGAAGGUAGCGUAAUCAUUUGUCUUUUAAAUGAAGACCCGUAUGAAUGGCAUAACGAGGGUUUAACUGUCUCCCUUCCCCAGUCAAUGAAAUUGAUCUACCCGUGCAGAAGCGGGUAUAUAACCAUAAGACGAGAAGACCCUAUGGAGCUUUAGACAAAGGAUCGCACAUGUAAAGGGGGCCUAUUAUCCAAAAGGACUACAGUGGCCGUAAAACCAAAUGUACAACGAACCGAGUGUCUUCGGUUGGGGCGACCAUGGGGGAGAGAGAAGCCCCCACGAGGAACGGGGAAACCCUGAGCUAAGAGGGACACCUCUAGGCAACAGAAAAUCUGACCGCAACUGACCCAGGACAACGCUCCUGAUCAACGAACCAAGUUACCCUAGGGAUAACAGCGCAAUCCUCUCCCAGAGUCCAUAUCGACGAGGGGGUUUACGACCUCGAUGUUGGAUCAGGACAUCCUAAUGGUGCAGCCGCUAUUAAGGGCUCGUUUGUUCAACG